UCCCUUCCCCGCGCCGCUGCCCCACCUCCCACCACCGCGCCGCACCAGAAGCUCCCUCCCCCUCACUGCCCGCCCCGACCACCGCGAUGGAUUUGAGCAGCCCCUGCCAUCCCGCGCCCAACCGGCGAUGGAUCCGAGCUCCUCCUCCACGUGCCUCCUCCCAACCCCAUGCUAUGCAUCUCGGUGUAUCCCCCGGAUGCGGCGAGACCUUGCCCAUUCAGGUGGUGCGACUCCUGGUGGAGAUAGGCCAGAUCGAGCACACAUGGCUAGCGGGAGUGGUCGGUCCUCCCUUCUGACGAGCACCAUGACACUGAGAUCUCGCUUGGCCCUCCCUUCCCUUGCUUCCUCUGCUCGCCGGUCUCUCCUCCCUGAUCUGUAGAUCACCCGCAGCACCCUAUUCCAUGAUGCAAUUUGUUUCGGUCGUCGACGUCGUCGACACCAUAGAUCAUGGAGCCAUUGUCCAUGUAAUCAAUUUUGCCUGCUGUUACAGUCCAUCCCAUGGGCACAGGAGGGCGUCGGGCAAUGCACUUUGGAGUUUUUACCCAUUCCAGAGAUGUAGUGCAGUUUGGAGUUUUUUGUGUGUUGAGAAACUUCAGAAAUUGCACUCUGACUAAUUUUCUCUAGUGCAAAUAAUGUUAUUACAAUUAGUUUUGGUUACGUAUUGGCAGUGCGGUUUAUAGCUCAUGGUGCUUCAGUGCUGAAUUUGGCGUGGUGGACGGCAAUGUGUGUGUGUGUGUGUGUGUGUGUGUGUGUGUGUGUGUGUGUGUGUGUGUGUAUGUGAGUCUGUACAUAUAUGCCUGUAUGGUGUCAUGUUUUAUACCGUAGAUUUUUCUAUGUCGCAUACAUGUAUGCAUGUAUGUAAUCCUCAGAGUCCCAGGUCAACGGCGGAUGUAGCCCAUGCAGUUCGUAUGGUUGUGUGGUGCGGUCAAAUAUUUUUUUACUA
Molecule: long non-coding RNA, 943 nt
Organism: Triticum dicoccoides
Lineage: Eukaryota; Viridiplantae; Streptophyta; Magnoliopsida; Poales; Poaceae
Exons: 2
Source: RefSeq, a predicted model, not a curated record